This 328-nucleotide unclassified non-coding RNA is filed under the name soil metagenome. RNAcentral's name for it is "partial contains 5.8S ribosomal RNA, internal transcribed spacer 2, and large subunit ribosomal RNA". The stretch from base 1 to 120 matches the Rfam family "5.8S ribosomal RNA", at positions 35 to 154 of the family's 154-position model. The record is from RNAcentral.
GAUUAAGAACGUAGCGAAAUGCGAUAAGUAAUGUGAAUUGCAGAAUUCAGUGAAUCAUCGAAUCUUUGAACGCACAUUGCGCCCCCUGGUAUUCCGGGGGGCAUGCCUGUCCGAGCGUCAUUACAACCCUCAAGCUCAGCUUGGUGUUGGGCCCCGCCGCCCCGGCGGGCCCUAAAGUCAGUGGCGGUGCCGUCCGGCUCCGAGCGUAGUAAUUCUUCUCGCUCUGGAGGUCCGGUCGUGUGCUCGCCAGCAACCCCCAAUUUUUUUCAGGUUGACCUCGGAUCAGGUAGGGAUACCCGCUGAACUUAAGCAUAUCAAUAAGCGGAGA